GCACACACUUAUAGUCCCAGCUAUUUGGGAUGCUGAGGCAGGAGGAUCGGUUGAGCCCAGAAGUUCUGAGCUAUACCAUACUAUGCCAGUUGGGUGCCUACACUAAGUUCAGCACCAACAUGGUGACGUCCAGGAGCAUGGAAACACCAGGUUGUUUAAGGAGGGGUGAACUGGCCCAGGUCAGUAACAAAGUAGGUCAAAACUCCUAUGCUGAUUAGUAGUGGGAUUGCACCUGUGAACAGCCACUGUACUCCAGCCUGGGCAACAUAAUGUGAAACCCUGUUUCUA
Molecule: unclassified non-coding RNA, 288 nt
Organism: Callithrix jacchus (white-tufted-ear marmoset)
Lineage: Eukaryota; Metazoa; Chordata; Mammalia; Primates; Cebidae
Rfam family: Metazoan signal recognition particle RNA
About the family: The signal recognition particle (SRP) is a universally conserved ribonucleoprotein. It is involved in the co-translational targeting of proteins to membranes.
Source: Ensembl